CACCAUGUUUGUUUCCCUUCCUUGUUUCUUCUAACAAAAUGCAGAUCAAAUGAAUGAAUUAUCUAACAGGGAAAUGAACGCUGGAUGUAAUAUUACUUUAAGCCACAUCUGAAAUGAAUUGGAAGAUCAAAAGACUACAUAAUGACAUCAAUUGAGUAUACUGUCUCAUUUCAACUCCCAGCAACCUGACGAAUACAGCAUCAGUGAAGAGCAAAUGAGAUAGUCUAGAUGAAGUCGUGCACUGUCCGGCACAGAGUAACUGUCCAGUAUCUAUCAGCCAUGGUUAUGAAAAUAUGUCUACAGAAAUGCUUUGCUCCUCUCUCUUUGUUUACAUAUUUUUUGCUAAAAUGUAUUCGGUCUCAUUCUCAUGACUUCUCAAUAGAUGGCACACAUCCAAAUGCCG
Heterocephalus glaber (naked mole-rat) is the source of this 403-nucleotide long non-coding RNA. The record is from Ensembl. Lineage: Eukaryota; Metazoa; Chordata; Mammalia; Rodentia; Bathyergidae.